AGUGAACGCUGGCGGUAGGCCUAACACAUGCAAGUCGAACGGCAGCACAGUAAGAGCUUGCUCUUACGGGUGGCGAGUGGCGGACGGGUGAGGAAUACAUCGGAAUCUACUUUUUCGUGGGGGAUAACGUAGGGAAACUUACGCUAAUACCGCAUACGACCUACGGGUGAAAGCAGGGGAUCUUCGGACCUUGCGCGAUUCAAUGAGCCGAUGUCGGAUUAGCUAGUUGGCGGGGUAAAGGCCCACCAAGGCGACGAUCCGUAGCUGGUCUGAGAGGAUGAUCCGCCACACUGGAACUGAGACACGGUCCAGACUCCUACGGGAGGCAGCAGUGGGGAAUAUUGGGCAAUGGGCGCAAGCCUGAUCCAGCCAUACCGCGUGGGUGAAGAAGGCCUUCGGGUUGUAAAGCCCUUUUGUUGGGAAAGAAAAGCAGCAGGUUAAUACCCCGCUGUUCUGACGGUACCCAAAGAAUAAGCACCGGCUAACUUCGUG
Molecule: ribosomal RNA, 492 nt
Filed under: uncultured bacterium
Lineage: Bacteria
Description: partial 16S ribosomal RNA
Rfam family: Bacterial small subunit ribosomal RNA
Source: RNAcentral